This 253-nucleotide ribosomal RNA is filed under the name uncultured bacterium. RNAcentral's name for it is "partial 16S ribosomal RNA". It matches the Rfam family "Bacterial small subunit ribosomal RNA", at positions 524 to 776 of the family's 1533-position model. The record is from RNAcentral.
UACGUAGGGUGCAAGCGUUGUCCGGAAUUAUUGGGCGUAAAGGGCUUCUAGGCGGCCUGUCGCGUCGACUGUGAAAACUCGGGGCUCAACCCCGAGCCUGCAGUCGAUACGGGCAGGCUCGAGUUCGGUAGGGGAGAUCGGAAUUCCUGGUGUAGCGGUGAAAUGCGCAGAUAUCAGGAGGAACACCGGUGGCGAAGGCGGAUCUCUGGGCCGAAACUGACGCUGAAGAGCGAAAGUGUGGGGAGCGAACAGG